CCUUGGAGUUGGGAGGGUUCUGGCCUCGGUUCCCUGCCCCGCACAGGCUGGGCUGUGAGGACUGGCCCUGACCCACAGCGGGAGCUCAGUGGUCACAGAUGUUACCCACAGAACAAGGACCAUGGUCUCCCCUGUAAGAAGAUAGCUGUGCAUUCAGAGAUGGAUGGUUGUGAGAUGCUUCUGGCUCAAUGAUGGAGGUUACACACAGCA
Non-coding RNA from Coturnix japonica (Japanese quail), 210 nucleotides. Lineage: Eukaryota; Metazoa; Chordata; Aves; Galliformes; Phasianidae. The record is from RefSeq and is a predicted model, not a curated record.